Molecule: ribosomal RNA, 723 nt
Filed under: uncultured bacterium
Lineage: Bacteria
Description: bacterial SSU rRNA
Rfam family: Bacterial small subunit ribosomal RNA
Source: RNAcentral
CUUAACACAUGCAAGUCGAAGGAGAAGGUAGCUGCUUGCAGCUACUGGAGACUGGCGGACGGGUGAGUAACGCGUAGAUAACCUGCCUAUAUCUGGGGGAUAACAUCUCGAAAGGGGUGCUAAUACCGCAUAAUGCAGCGGGGCCGCAUGGCCACAGUUGUUAAAGGUUUCGGCCGGAUAUAGAGGGGUCUGCGUACUAUUAGUUAGUUGGUGAGGUAACGGCUCACCAAGGCGAUGAUAGUUAGGGGGUCUGAGAGGAUGAUCCCCCACACUGGGACUGAGACACGGCCCAGACUCCUACGGGAGGCAGCAGUGAGGAAUCUUGCGCAAUGGGCGAAAGCCUGACGCAGCCACGCCGCGUGCCGGAAGACGGCCCUAUGGGUUGUAAACGGCUUUUGAAUGGGAAGAACGAGAGGGUUUCGAUCUUCUGUGACGGUACCAUUUGAAUAAGCACCGGCUAACUCCGUGCCAGCAGCCGCGGUAAUACGGAGGGUGCAAGCGUUGUCCGGAAUCAUUGGGUGUAAAGGGUGCGUAGGCGGGAGCCUAAGUCUGUGGUGAAAUCUUGCCGCUUAACGGUAAAAUUGCCAUAGAUACUGGGUUUCUUGAGUACAGAAGAGGUCGGUGGAAUUCGUAGUGUAGCGGUGAAAUGCAUAGAUAUUACGAAGAACACCAGUGGCGAAGGCGGCCGGCCGGACUGUAACUGACGCUGAGGCACGAAAGCGU